Molecule: small RNA, 127 nt
Filed under: Marmota monax (woodchuck)
Lineage: Eukaryota; Metazoa; Chordata; Mammalia; Rodentia; Sciuridae
Source: RNAcentral
GCAAGGCGCAGUGGUGCACACCUGUAAUCCCAGAAGCUUGGGAGGCUGAGGCAGGAGGAUCACAAGUUCAAGGCUAGCUUCAGCAAUGUAGAGAGGCCCUAAGCAGCUUAGUGAGACCCUGUCUCAA